CCUACGGGAGGCAGCAGUGAGGAAUAUUGGUCAAUGGCCGUAAGGCUGAACCAGCCAAGUCGCGUGAAGGAAGAAGGAUCUAUGGUUUGUAAACUUCUUUUAUAGGGGAAUAAAGGUAUCCACGUGUGGAUCUUUGCAUGUACCCUAUGAAUAAGCAUCGGCUAACUCCGUGCCAGCAGCCGCGGUAAUACGGAGGAUGCGAGCGUUAUCCGGAUUUGUUGGGUUUAAAGGGUGCGUAGGUUGUUUUUUAAGUCAGCGGUGAAAGUUUGUGGCUCAACCAUAAAAUUGCCGUUGAAACUGGAAGACUUGAGUGUGUUUGAGGUAGGCGGAAUGCGUGGUGUAGCGGUGAAAUGCAUAGAUAUCACGCAGAACUCCGAUUGCGAAGGCAGCUUACUAAGCCAUAACUGACACUGAAGCACGAAAGCGUGGGGAUCAAACAGGAUUAGAUACCCCUGUAGUC
This 460-nucleotide ribosomal RNA is filed under the name uncultured bacterium. RNAcentral describes it as "partial 16S ribosomal RNA". It matches the Rfam family "Bacterial small subunit ribosomal RNA", at positions 338 to 795 of the family's 1533-position model. The record is from RNAcentral.